Molecule: ribosomal RNA, 440 nt
Filed under: uncultured bacterium
Lineage: Bacteria
Description: partial 16S ribosomal RNA
Rfam family: Bacterial small subunit ribosomal RNA
Source: RNAcentral
CCUACGGGAGGCAGCAGUGGGGAAUAUUGCACAAUGGGGGAAACCCUGAUGCAGCGACGCCGCGUGAGUGAAGAAGUAUUUCGGUAUGUAAAGCUCUAUCAGCAGGGAAGAAAAUGACGGUACCUGAUUAAGAAGCCCCGGCUAACUACGUGCCAGCAGCCGCGGUAAUACGGAGGGGGCAAGCGUUAUCCGGAUUUACUGGGUGUAAAGGGAGCGUAGACGGCAGCACAAGUCUGGAGUGAAAUGCCGGGGCUUAACCCCGGAAGUGCUUUGGAAACUGUGCAGCUAGAGUGCAGGAGAGGUAAGUGGAAUUCCUAGUGUAGCGGUGAAAUGCGUAGAUAUUAGGAGGAACACCAGUGGCGAAGGCGGCUUACUGGAGUGUAACUGACGUUGAGGCUCGAAAGCGUGGGGAGCGAACAGGAUUAGAUACCCUAGUAGUC